ACGAACGCUGGCGGUGUGCUUAACACAUGCAAGUCGCACGGUAAGGCCCUUUCGGGGGUACACGAGUGGCGAACGGGUGAGUAACACGUGAGUAACCUGCCCUCAUCUCUGGGAUAACAGUCGGAAACGGUUGCUAAUACUGGAUAUGAGCCUGCAAGGCAUCUUGUGGGUUGGAAAGAUUUUUUGGUUGGGGAUGGACUCGCGGCCUAUCAGCUUGUUGGUGAGGUAGUGGCUCACCAAGGCUUCGACGGGUAGCCGGCCUGAGAGGGCGACCGGCCACAUUGGGACUGAGAUACGGCCCAAACUCCUACGGGAGGCAGCAGUGGGGAAUAUUGCACAAUGGACGGAAGUCUGAUGCAGCAACGCCGCGUGCGGGAUGACGGCCUUCGGGUUGUAAACCGCUUUCAAUUGUGACGAAGCUUUUUGUGACGGUAGCAGUAGAAGAAGCACCGGCUAACUACGUG
RNAcentral lists this ribosomal RNA (464 nucleotides) under uncultured bacterium. Its description in RNAcentral is "partial 16S ribosomal RNA". It matches the Rfam family "Bacterial small subunit ribosomal RNA", at positions 29 to 507 of the family's 1533-position model. The record is from RNAcentral.